UACAGAGGUCUCAAGCGUUGUUCGGAUUCAUUGGGCGUAAAGGGUUUGUAGGUGGCGCGCUAAGUCGGGUGUGAAAUUUCGGAGCUUAACUCCGAAACUGCAUUCGAUACUGGCGUGCUUGAGGACUGGAGAGGAGACUGGAAUUUACGGUGUAGCAGUGAAAUGCGUAGAUAUCGUAAGGAAGACCAGUGGCGAAGGCGGGUCUCUGGACAGGUCCUGACACUGAGACACGAAGGCCAGGGGAGCAAACGGG
Molecule: ribosomal RNA, 253 nt
Filed under: uncultured bacterium
Lineage: Bacteria
Description: partial 16S ribosomal RNA
Rfam family: Bacterial small subunit ribosomal RNA
Source: RNAcentral